Molecule: ribosomal RNA, 116 nt
Filed under: Pteropus alecto (black flying fox)
Lineage: Eukaryota; Metazoa; Chordata; Mammalia; Chiroptera; Pteropodidae
Source: RNAcentral
GUCUAUGGCCAUGCCACCUUGAACAAGCCUGAUAUCUGAUCUCAGAAGCUAAGUAGGGUCAGGCCUGGUUAGUACUUGGAUGGGAGACCACCUAGGAAGACCAGGUGCUGUAGGCA